GACGAACGCUGGCGGCGUGCCUAAUACAUGCAAGUCGAACGCACAGUUUAUACCGUAGCUUGCUACACCAUAGACUGUGAGUUGCGAACGGGUGAGUAACGCGUAGGUAACCUGCCUGGUAGCGGGGGAUAACUAUUGGAAACGAUAGCUAAUACCGCAUAAUAUUGAUUAUUGCAUGAUAAUUGAUUGAAAGAUGCUAUUGCAUCACUACCAGAUGGACCUGCGUUGUAUUAGCUAGUAGGUGAGGUAACGGCUCACCUAGGCGACGAUACAUAGCCGACCUGAGAGGGUGAGCGGCCACACUGGGACUGAGACACGGCCCAGACGCCUACGGGAGGCAGCAGUAGGGAAUCGUCGGCAAGGGACGAAAGUCUGACCGAGCAACGCCGCGUGAGUGAAGAAGGUUGUCGGAUCGUAAAGCUCUGUUGUAAGAGAAGAACGGGUGUGAGAGUGGAAAGUUCACACUGUGACGGUAUCUUACCAGAAAGGGACGGCUAACUACGUG
Molecule: ribosomal RNA, 505 nt
Filed under: uncultured bacterium
Lineage: Bacteria
Description: partial 16S ribosomal RNA
Rfam family: Bacterial small subunit ribosomal RNA
Source: RNAcentral